CUUGUUCACAGCAUAAACAUCUACAGCCCCACUCUGGAGGGAUUCUGUAGCUGUGGGAGGACUCCAGGCGCUGUAUGAAUUAUGAAAAAUAAUAACAGCAAACCUUUGCUUCUUCACAUGAAACCAGACAGCCUGACUUCCUCAUCAGUGAAGAGGAGUUGAAAGUAGUGGUAGCUUACAACAUUCUGGCUCCUUGUGCUGAUUGUGACUGGGA
This 214-nucleotide long non-coding RNA is filed under the name Zonotrichia albicollis (white-throated sparrow). RNAcentral's name for it is "lncRNA (ENSZALG00000013213.1)". The record is from RNAcentral. Lineage: Eukaryota; Metazoa; Chordata; Aves; Passeriformes; Passerellidae.